UCUUAUUAGUUAAAAAUUCAAUAUGGCCGAUGCUGGGAAGCGUUCCCUAUUGGCUGUUUUGGGAGGAUGCGCAAGAACACACCUUCUCUCCUUACAUCAUGCCAGAAUCCAUCGAGUAAUAUGCAUGAUUUCUAGGCUGAAACCCGAGUAGCAGAAGUUUUCUUAAUUUUUUUGCGCAUGUGCGUACGGUUCAGGCCAGGCACAGGCAUACCAGAAGCAACGAAGAUAGACCAUCUUCGUUGAUACAGGAUAACCACGAGAGUCACACGAACGAUGACGACAUCAGUGCCUGGAGCGACUGAGGACAGCGAGGAAAUGCGCGAGUCGAUGCAGAAGAUCGUCGAUCAAUUCAUGACGGAAAAGCGAAAGAGACAGUGAACAAUCCACUACUCCGAUGAAACUCAAUAAGUCGAAGAUGCGAGAAACACUUUAUACAUAGACUAUAUAAAUAUAUAUAUAAAGUAUAGGCGUAAAAUAAAAAAUAAACGGGCGCGAACUUUUUGAAACGAAUGUCGCGAGCCUCGUGUGUUCUCUAUAUUAUACAUAAUGACAAUGAGAAAAAAAGCACUUCCGCGCCGACCGCGCAGCUGAGCCACAGGUACGUCAUCGUCAAUAACGAUGAGCGCUUCUGGCCUAUAUUAAACGGAUCGUCGUCGCGUUUGUUAUACUUUCGGAAAAAUCGAGGAAAGGAGAUGAAUAAUAUGAUAUAAACAAUGAAUCACGAUGAAUUAUUAUAUAUGAAUAUAUGAAUUAAGCAAAGACAACAAU
Long non-coding RNA from Nasonia vitripennis (jewel wasp), 768 nucleotides. RefSeq lists it as uncharacterized. The transcript is spliced from 2 exons. The record is from RefSeq and is a predicted model, not a curated record. NCBI's taxonomy places the organism in Eukaryota, Metazoa, Arthropoda, Insecta, Hymenoptera, Pteromalidae.